Molecule: ribosomal RNA, 370 nt
Filed under: uncultured organism
Description: partial 16S ribosomal RNA
Rfam family: Bacterial small subunit ribosomal RNA
Source: RNAcentral
GUACUGUGCGAACGUUAUUCGGAAUCACUGGGCUUAAAGGGUGCGUAGGCGGUUGAUUAAGUAGGGUGUGAAAGCUCUCGGCCUAACCGAGGAAUUGCGCUCUAAACUGAUCGGCUUGAGUGAGAUAGGGGUGUGCGGAACUUCCAGUGGAGCGGUGAAAUGUGUUGAUAUUGGAAGGAACGCCGGUGGCGAAAGCGGCACACUGGGUCUCAACUAACGCUGAGGCACGAAAGCCAGGGUAGCGAACGGGGGAUUAGAUACCCCGGUAGUCCUGGCUGUAAACGAUGAGCACUAGACGGGAGGAGCUUCGGCUCAUCCGGUCGCAGCGAAAGCAAUAAGUGCUCCGCCUGGGAGUAUGGUCGCAAGGCUG